UGUGUGUGUGUGUGUGUGUUUUAUGGCACCCUUAGUGAACUAAUGCACAGACAUUCUAGAAUCCUCUUAAACUUGGCUAGUUCGUCUGCUUGUCUAGGUUGCUUGACUGGUGGGAUAACCUGCAUCUUCCUCCCUGGCGGCAGUGGUGGGGGAGGUGGUCUUAGCCCUGGUUAUCAGGCUUUUGUCCUGUUUGCUGAAAUUGCCAGUUUAUGUUAAUUACCAGGCAUGGGAACACAAGGAAGCACCCCAGGGAAACUCCUGCAUUCCAGAUAUAUUCAUCCUUGCCCCCUUUUUCUCAUGAUACUCACUAACUCCUGUUGGGAUUGGUAUGCCUCUCUUUAUCUGCUGCUGUGUUGGUAUGAGGAAUCCCAAUAGCCCAGGCAUUGGCCAUAGUUUUAUGGAACCCUUUCUAUAUACCCUGGUAUAGGUAUCCCCUGCCAACCUCCUAAAGUCAGGAGUUUUUGUCUGGCAGAGCCUAAAGUUGAAGGGAUGGGAAGCACAAAUUGCCCCUGUGGGUCAGUGGGAGCUAUAGUGACAGACACCACUCUUACCUCUUGGUGUCUGUGAGAAACAAAUUCACCCAUCCAAACCCAAAGAAUGGUCUCAGAGAUCUGGAGAACAUCACAAGUGAGACUUUUAAUGACGGUCUUGCAAGAUCAGGUGUCUGAUGGGCAGGCACACCCAGCACAGUUUCAACAGGCAAUUUAUCCCCUAGUGCACAGGUCCCUCCCCUGGUUCCUCACAGGCUGAGUAUUAUGGGGUCACAAUCUUCCUGGACAUCGCCAGUUGAUUGUUGGGUAAAGGUUUUAGGUAUUUUUUUAGGGUUGUCUCGCUGCAUCUUGUUGCAGCCCACAAUGCAUUGCAAUCCUAGCUCAGGCGCUGUUCAAGUAUUGGACUUAUAACCUAAAUAGCUGGGCAGGCUGACAAGAACAGACAAAAUGAACUAUUGUGCAGGUUGGUAAACUUUCAUCCUAGAUUAAACUGCUUUGGUUCAGCUGAGGGCAACUAAGUUAUGGGGAAGGCGGAGGCCAACAAGCAGGCGUUGGCUAUCCAAGCAGAGGCCUCACAUAUCCUGUUUCUUUUGUAGUUUGCUGAUCUAAGCCAGUUCAAGGCCCUUUGUCUUGGAAAUGGACCACUGUAUACAUAAUUUUCUUCAGUUUCCAGACUGUUUUCCACCUAUUGGAGUCAUAACAUGCAGUAACAGAUUGUGGCCAUAUAAACACCAAUACCUCAUCAUCAGGGCCAGCACCCCUACUUUGCAAGGUAUUAUUCUCAAGCUGUUGCACCUUUAAGAGGACAUUCCAGUGAUUCUGUCAGGACAGCAGCUUCUAGGUGAUGCGGUACACAGUAGACAAAGGGGAAUUGAUGGGCAUUUGUCCAUUGUUGUACCACCUUUGCCGUAAAGCGAAUAUCUCUUAGUGUAAGAUUUGCGUUCUCAGCCAGCUGUGGUGGCUCAUGCCUGUAAUCCCAGCACUUUGGGAGGCCGAGGCAGGUGGAUCACGAGAUCAGGAGUUUGAGACCAGCCUGAUCAACAUGGUGAAACCCUAUCCCUACUAAAAAUACAAAAAAUUAGCCAGGCGUGGUGGCAUGCAUCUGUAGUCCCAGCUACUCAGGAGGCUGAGGCAGAAGAAUCGCUUGAACCCAGGAGGCAGAGGUUGCAGUGAGUCGAGAUCACACCACUGCACUCCAGCCUGGGUGACAGAGCGAGACUCUGUCUCAAAAAAAAGAAGAAGAAAAAAAAAAGAUUUGCAUUCUCAACGGGGGCAGUAUUGCCACCAGGGGGGUGAAAAUUGGUUAUUGAGAGACAAAACAAACCUUACUAUUUUUAUGUAUAAAGCAUAGAUAAACACACAUUGCUUAAAAAGAAAUACAGCUGUGCACGCUGGCUCACGCCUGUAAUUCCAGCAAUUUGGGAGGCCAAGGCGGGCAGAUCACGAGGUCGGGGGUUCAAGACCAGCCUGGCCAACAGGGUGAAACCCCGUCUCUAUUAAAAUACAACCAAUUAGCUGUGCGUAGUGGCAGGUGCCUGUAAUCCCAGCUGCUCAGACGGCUGAGGCAGGAGAAUCGCUUGAACCCAGGAGGUGGAGGUUGCAGUGAGCCGAGAUUGUGCCGCUGCACUCCAACCCUGGCAAUAGAGUGAGACUCUGUCUCAAAAAAAAAAAAAAAAA
This 2168-nucleotide long non-coding RNA is filed under the name Macaca fascicularis (crab-eating macaque). RNAcentral's name for it is "lncRNA (ENSMFAG00000061708.1)". The record is from RNAcentral. Lineage: Eukaryota; Metazoa; Chordata; Mammalia; Primates; Cercopithecidae.